AUUGAACGCUGGCGGCAUGCCUUACACAUGCAAGUCGAACGGCAGCAUGAUCUAGCUUGCUAGAUUGAUGGCGAGUGGCGAACGGGUGAGUAAUACAUCGGAACGUGCCCUGUAGUGGGGGAUAACUAGUCGAAAGAUUAGCUAAUACCGCAUACGACCUGAGGGUGAAAGUGGGGGACCGCAAGGCCUCAUGCUAUAGGAGCGGCCGAUGUCUGAUCAGCUAGUUGGUGAGGUAAAGGCUCACCAAGGCGACGAUCAGUAGCUGGUCUGAGAGGACGAUCAGCCACACUGGGACUGAGACACGGCCCAGACUCCUACGGGAGGCAGCAGUGGGGAAUUUUGGACAAUGGGCGAAAGCCUGAUCCAGCAAUGCCGCGUGUGUGAAGAAGGCCUUCGGGUUGUAAAGCACUUUUGUCCGGAAAGAAAUGGCUCUGGUUAAUACCUGGGGUCGAUGACGGUACCGGAAGAAUAAGGACCGGCUAACUACGUG
Molecule: ribosomal RNA, 490 nt
Filed under: uncultured bacterium
Lineage: Bacteria
Description: partial 16S ribosomal RNA
Rfam family: Bacterial small subunit ribosomal RNA
Source: RNAcentral